Molecule: ribosomal RNA, 433 nt
Filed under: uncultured bacterium
Lineage: Bacteria
Description: partial 16S ribosomal RNA
Rfam family: Bacterial small subunit ribosomal RNA
Source: RNAcentral
AACGAACGCUGGCGGCAUGCCUAACACAUGCAAGUCGAACGAGACCUUCGGGUCUAGUGGCGCACGGGUGCGUAACGCGUGGGAACCUGCCCUUAGGUUCGGAAUAACUCCCCGAAAGGGGUGCUAAUACCGGAUAAUGUCUUCGGACCAAAGAUUUCUCGCCUUUGGAUGGGCCCGCGUUGGAUUAGCUAUUUGGUAGGGUAAAAGCCUACCAAGGCGACGAUCCAUAGCUGGUCUGAGAGGAUGAUCAGCCACACUGGGACUGAGACACGGCCCAGACUCCGACGGGAGGCAGCAGUGGGGAAUAUAGGACAAUGGGCGAAAGACUGAUCCAGCAAUGCCGCGUGAGUGAUGAAGGCCGUAGGGUUGUAAAGCUCUUUUACCCGGGAUGAGAAUGACAGUACCGGGAGAAUAAGCUCCGGCUAACUCCGUG